UUUUAUUGGUUAAUUAGGAAAUUAUUUUUGAUGUAUUCAACACCCAUCACAACUCAAGAUAGAGCUCACGACCUCAUGAGCUUAAGAGGUCAUGGUUUAGGCCUCAUGAAUGAUAAAGGAUGGCAUAAUCCAUUCAAAGGGAGAUCCAUAUGGCAAGGUCCAAAUAAGUGAAAAUAAAAACUAAAUUCAAGUUGAGCAAAGUCCCACAUAGAGAGAAGUCUAAGAUGGAUCCAGUUCAAGGUGGUUAUAUGGAUGGAGUACCACUAUGUCAAGUAGAGCAAGGACAAGAUCAUUGGCUAAUAG
Molecule: long non-coding RNA, 303 nt
Filed under: Carica papaya (papaya)
Lineage: Eukaryota; Viridiplantae; Streptophyta; Magnoliopsida; Brassicales; Caricaceae
Description: long non-coding RNA (CPAP_LNC013237)
Source: RNAcentral